ACUGCCGGCUCCUUCCCAGUACAAGUGCUCAGAUGUGCCCAGCCUUUCCCUCCCUGGAUUUACUGAUUCUUUUGGAUCUGUCAUGUCUGCUUUAGAUGAAGUUGGAGGCUGUAAUACAAAAAGCUGUAGUGGGAGAACAUCUCCAUGAAGACUGCCUUUAAGCUGCUUUGUGAUCCCCUGAUGGCUGCCCACAGCUGCCAUGAGCUACAGCAGCUCUCAGUUGCCUGCCUUUCCAUUUGAAAGAUAUUCAUCCUACAUCACUUUAAAGACAAAAGGUGAAGCAGUGCUGUAUGUAUCCUAAGUAACCUUGCAGAAUAUACAGGAGCGCCGAGCAAUUUUGUGAGCAGAGCACAUCAGGGUUUUGUCUCCCAGUUUAAACGAGCAGCAUCACAUCGUGUUGCUGACACCAAGGGUGUAUCUAGGCAGCUGAAAACAAGAUGUGGUACAGAGAAGA
Lonchura striata (white-rumped munia) is the source of this 454-nucleotide non-coding RNA. Lineage: Eukaryota; Metazoa; Chordata; Aves; Passeriformes; Estrildidae. The record is from RefSeq and is a predicted model, not a curated record.